RNAcentral lists this transfer RNA (75 nucleotides) under archaeon. RNAcentral's name for it is "tRNA-Arg". It matches the Rfam family "tRNA". Rfam says of the family: Transfer RNA (tRNA) molecules are approximately 80 nucleotides in length. Their secondary structure includes four short double-helical elements and three loops (D, anti-codon, and T loops). The record is from RNAcentral. RNAcentral also lists the same sequence under 2 other names.
GGGCCUAUGGUCUAACCCGGAUUAUGACAGAAGGCUUCGGACCUUCAAAUCGGGGUUCAAAUCCCCGUGGGCCCA